UACGUAGGGGGCAAGCGUUGUCCGGAAUCAUUGGGCGUAAAGCGCGUGUAGGCGGCUCGAUAAGUCUGCUGUGAAAGUCCAGGGCUCAACCCUGGGAUGCCGGUGGAUACUGUCGAGCUCGAGUCCGGAAGAGGCGAGUGGAAUUCCUGGUGUAGCGGUGAAAUGCGCAGAUAUCAGGAGGAACACCAAUGGCGAAGGCAGCUCGCUGGGACGUGACUGACGUUGAGACGCGAAAGCGUGGGGAGCAAACAGG
This 253-nucleotide ribosomal RNA is filed under the name uncultured bacterium. RNAcentral's name for it is "partial 16S ribosomal RNA". It matches the Rfam family "Bacterial small subunit ribosomal RNA", at positions 524 to 776 of the family's 1533-position model. The record is from RNAcentral.